RNAcentral lists this ribosomal RNA (253 nucleotides) under uncultured bacterium. Its description in RNAcentral is "partial 16S ribosomal RNA". It matches the Rfam family "Bacterial small subunit ribosomal RNA", at positions 524 to 776 of the family's 1533-position model. The record is from RNAcentral.
UACGAAGGGGGCUAGCGUUGUUCGGAAUCACUGGGCGUAAAGGGCGCGUAGGCGGCUUUAUAAGUCGGGGGUGAAAGCCUGUGGCUCAACCACAGAAUUGCCUUCGAUACUGUAGAGCUUGAGACCGGAAGAGGUAAGUGGAACUGCGAGUGUAGAGGUGAAAUUCGUAGAUAUUCGGAAGAACACCAGUGGCGAAGGCGGCUCACUGGCCCGGUACUGACGCUGAGGUGCGAAAGCGUGGGGAGCAAACAGG